GAUCCCAUCAGAACUCCGAAGUUAAGCGUGCUUUGGCGAGAGUAGUACUAAGAUGGGUGACCUCCAUGGAAGUCCUUGUGUUGCACCCC
RNAcentral lists this ribosomal RNA (89 nucleotides) under Colocasia esculenta (taro). The record is from RNAcentral. Lineage: Eukaryota; Viridiplantae; Streptophyta; Magnoliopsida; Alismatales; Araceae.